CAGAUAGAUCUUUUGUUUUGUGGAUCUAACGCUAGUUUCAUAUUACACUCUACAGAUGAGGCAAUUUCUAAAAAGCUGCACAUAUUGUUUUAUAUAACGAGAUACAGCUACCUAACAUACAUAGAUUAUAGUCUACUAAAUCCACGCAACAGUCUGGAUCUAUUGACACAACUCACACAACAUUACUUCUCAUCACAAUACUGCACCAUUGAGAACAAGUACUACUAAUACUCAG
Pelobates cultripes (western spadefoot toad) is the source of this 235-nucleotide non-coding RNA. The record is from the annotation of a GenBank genome assembly. Lineage: Eukaryota; Metazoa; Chordata; Amphibia; Anura; Pelobatidae.